CCUACGGGUGGCAGCAGUCGAGAAUUAUUCACAAUGGGGGAAACCCUGAUGGUGCGAAGCCGCGUGGGGGAAUGAAGGUCUUCGGAUUGUAAACUCCUGUCAUGUGGGAGCAAAUUAAAACGCUAGUACCACAUGAGGAAGAGACUGUUAAUGCUGUGCCAGCAGCUGCGGUCAUACAGCGGUUUUAAGCGUUGUUCGGAAUCAGUGGGCGUAAGGGGUGCGGAGGCUGUUUCGGAAGUCGUGUGUGAAAGGCGGGGGCUCAAACGUCGGAUGGCACCUGAUACUGGGAGACUCGAGGAAAGUAGAGGGAGGCGGAAUUCGCGGUGUAGCAGUGAAAUGCGUAGAUAUCGCGAAGAACACUGAUGGCGAAGGCAGGUUCCUGAAC
Molecule: ribosomal RNA, 385 nt
Filed under: uncultured bacterium
Lineage: Bacteria
Description: partial 16S ribosomal RNA
Rfam family: Bacterial small subunit ribosomal RNA
Source: RNAcentral